RNAcentral lists this ribosomal RNA (263 nucleotides) under uncultured bacterium. RNAcentral's name for it is "partial 16S ribosomal RNA". It matches the Rfam family "Bacterial small subunit ribosomal RNA", at positions 524 to 784 of the family's 1533-position model. The record is from RNAcentral.
UACGAAGGGGGCUAGCGUUGUUCGGAAUUACUGGGCGUAAAGCGCGUGUAGGCGGGUCUUUAAGUCAGGGGUGAAAUGCCAAGGCUCAACCUUGGAACUGCCUUUGAUACUGGAGACCUUGAGUCCGGGAGAGGUGAGUGGAAUUGCGAGUGUAGAGGUGAAAUUCGUAGAUAUUCGCAAGAACACCAGUGGCGAAGGCGGCUCACUGGCCCGGAACUGACGCUGAGACGCGAAAAGCGUGGGGAGCAAACAGGGAUUAAGAA